CUCAACAUGGCGGCGCACAGGCGGACGCUUGAGCCGGCUGUCCCGGGCGCGGGAGCGCCUGAGUCAUCCCGACAGGAGAGUCCAGGCGGCCAAGGCAUACCGAACCUGCCUCAGAUACUUGGGCACCUGAUUAAAUGUUCCACGUGGUUCACGUGUGUGGGAAGAGAGGGAGAUGUGUACAUGUGAAAGUCGUUACCUCCUCCGGUCUCUGCACCUUCAAAAAGCUGUCGCAGCAAGUUCAACUUCAUCAGCAGGGAAAGCACGGACGCUCGUUUGGUCCAUGAAGCCGUGAUGAUCAUCGGGUACAGACUGAAGUGGGAGGCUGGGCAGAAGAGGGAAGCAGAGCAACCACCCCAAAAGUUUAGUUUUCAUUUCUGGGAAUUUGGAUCUCAUAGCAAUAAAGAUUACAGAAUGUUGUAUUUGCAAAA
Non-coding RNA from Callorhinus ursinus (northern fur seal), 428 nucleotides. Lineage: Eukaryota; Metazoa; Chordata; Mammalia; Carnivora; Otariidae. The record is from RefSeq and is a predicted model, not a curated record.